AUUGAACGCUGGCGGCAUGCUUUACACAUGCAAGUCGAACGGUAACAUGGUGCUUGCACCGCUGACGAGUGGCGAACGGGUGAGUAAUGCGUCGGAACGUGCCGAGUAGUGGGGGAUAACGCAGCGAAAGUUGUGCUAAUACCGCAUACGUACUGAGGUAGAAAGUGGGGGACCUUCGGGCCUCACGCUAUUCGAGCGGCCGACGUCUGAUUAGCUAGUAGGUGAGGUAAAGGCUCACCUAGGCGACGAUCAGUAGCGGGUCUGAGAGGAUGAUCCGCCACACUGGGACUGAGACACGGCCCAGACUCCUACGGGAGGCAGCAGUGGGGAAUUUUGGACAAUGGGCGAAAGCCUGAUCCAGCCAUGCCGCGUGUCUGAAGAAGGCCUUCGGGUUGUAAGGGACUUUUGUCAGGGAGGAAAUCCCUAGUGCUAAUAACACUGGGGGAUGACAGUACCUGAAGAAUAAGCACCGGCUAACUACGUGCCAGCCGCCGCGGUAA
Molecule: ribosomal RNA, 500 nt
Filed under: uncultured bacterium
Lineage: Bacteria
Description: partial 16S ribosomal RNA
Rfam family: Bacterial small subunit ribosomal RNA
Source: RNAcentral